Molecule: ribosomal RNA, 468 nt
Filed under: uncultured bacterium
Lineage: Bacteria
Description: partial 16S ribosomal RNA
Rfam family: Bacterial small subunit ribosomal RNA
Source: RNAcentral
GACGAACGCUAGCGGCGUGCUUAACACAUGCAAGUCGAAUGGAAAGGCCCUGCUUUUGUGGGGUGCUCGAGUGGCGAACGGGUGAGUAACACGUGAGUAACCUGCCCUUGACUUUGGGAUAACUUCAGGAAACUGGGGCUAAUACCGGAUAGGAGCUCCUGCUGCAUGGUGGGGGUUGGAAAGUUUCGGCGGUUGGGGAUGGACUCGCGGCUUAUCAGCUUGUUGGUGGGGUAGUGGCUUACCAAGGCUUUGACGGGUAGCCGGCCUGAGAGGGUGACCGGCCACAUUGGGACUGAGAUACGGCCCAGACUCCUACGGGAGGCAGCAGUGGGGAAUAUUGCACAAUGGGCGGAAGCCUGAUGCAGCAACGCCGCGUGCGGGAUGACGGCCUUCGGGUUGUAAACCGCUUUCGCCUGUGACGAAGCGUGAGUGACGGUAAUGGGUAAAGAAGCACCGGCUAACUACGUG